RNAcentral lists this ribosomal RNA (241 nucleotides) under uncultured bacterium. RNAcentral describes it as "partial 16S ribosomal RNA". It matches the Rfam family "Bacterial small subunit ribosomal RNA", at positions 15 to 263 of the family's 1533-position model. The record is from RNAcentral.
GAUCAUGGCUCAGGACGAACGCUGGCGGCGUGCUUAACACAUGCAAGUCGAACGGGGCAGUAGAGAUAUGCCUAGUGGCGGACGGGUGAGUAACACGUGAGCAACCUAUCCUAUACAACGGGAUAACACAGAGAAAUUUGUGCUAAUACGGUAUAAGACCACAACUCCGGCAUCGGAGAGGGUAAAGCUGAGGCGGUAUAGGAGGGGCUCGCGGCCCAUUAGCUAGCUGGAGAGGUAACGG